AUAAAGGAUAAUUUGUAUAUCUGGAUGGUUUAAAAAUAAUUAAAUUUAUUUUUUAAAAUAUUAAUAGUAAUUAAUAAUAAUAUAAAAAUAUAAAAAGUAAAUAAUAAUUAUCUGUAAAUAAAAUUUACUAGAUUGAAGAAAAAACUAAAUCUGUAAUUUUAAUUUGAUAAACUUUAUAUUCCAGGCUAUAUUUGAUAAAAAGCAAGAAAAAAAAAAAAGUGAAAAACAAAGUUUGUUAGGCGAUUAAGCCUCGAAAAUAUGCAUGUAGGAAGAACACGUGGCAAUCAGUGUACAACUAAAGAUGCUGCCUAGGCAGCUUGACACUUGCAUGCCCUAUCCAUAUAUACCCACCGAGAAAUGCUAGAAAGUAAGGGGUCACUUAUUGCUUGUAAUAGCUCCCAUGGAGGAGAAGCUGUUUUAAAACAUACAAGUAUAUAUAUAUAUAAGCUAAGCCAUGGAUAAAAAGGAGAAUAGCGAAGACCCAAAUAUCGCUAAGCUAGCAGCAAAAGAAAUCAAAGGUGUAGUAGAUGAGCCACCACCAUCAGCUACUAAUAAUACAGUGGAGACACACAAGAAGGCAGCUGAGGAAAGAGACGAGGAAGUAAAACGCCUUCCUCACCAGCAAGUUCCUCAGCCUGGAGACUUCUCAACUGAAGCCCUUGAGCAACUUUGACACCAGCUUUACUAAGCACUAGUAGCUUCAUCAAGAAUCAGAAUAGCAGGAUUUCUAAGAAUGGCUCUAGCAAAAGCAAUUCGCUGCUUCUGUCCACCACUCAGCAACUCAUUAUCCACAAGAGUUUCAUAACCAAAGGGUAGAGAAGAAAUGAAUUCAUGGGCAUCGGCCAGCUUUGCAGCAUAUUCUAUGUCUUCCAUUUUAACAUCUCGAUAGCAUCCAUAUGUUAUGUUUGACUUGAUAUCAGUACGGAAGAGCUGUGGCUCCUGCCUAAAAUGAAUAUUUUAGUCUACAUAAUUACAUAGCUAUGAUAUAUCACCAAGUAGUCUAA
Ricinus communis (castor bean) is the source of this 1004-nucleotide long non-coding RNA. RefSeq lists it as uncharacterized. Lineage: Eukaryota; Viridiplantae; Streptophyta; Magnoliopsida; Malpighiales; Euphorbiaceae. The record is from RefSeq and is a predicted model, not a curated record. The transcript is spliced from 2 exons.